CAGUCGCCGCGGUAAUACGAAGGGUGCAAGCGUUAAUCGGAAUUACUGGGCGUAAAGCGUGCGCAGGCGGUUUGUUAAGACAGAUGUGAAAUCCCCGGGCUCAACCUGGGAACUGCAUUUGUGACUGGCAAGCUAGAGUCUGGCAGAGGGGGGUGGAAUUCCGCGUGUAGCAGUGAAAUGCGUAGAUAUGCGGAGGAACACCGAUGGCGAAGGCAGCCCCCUGGGCCAACACUGACGCUCAUGCACGAAAGCGUGGGGAGCAAACAGGAUUAGAUACCCGCGUAGUCCCUGUCUCUUAUAC
Molecule: ribosomal RNA, 301 nt
Filed under: uncultured bacterium
Lineage: Bacteria
Description: partial 16S ribosomal RNA
Rfam family: Bacterial small subunit ribosomal RNA
Source: RNAcentral